This is a non-coding RNA of Cordylochernes scorpioides, 67 nucleotides long. NCBI's taxonomy places the organism in Eukaryota, Metazoa, Arthropoda, Arachnida, Pseudoscorpiones, Chernetidae. The record is from the annotation of a GenBank genome assembly.
UGCCGAAACCCGGGAUCGAAACAGGGACCUUUAGAUAUUCAGUCUAACGCUCUAAAGCUAUUUCGGC